GAAAGUAUAGCUCAGCGGGUAGAGCUCAUGCUUAACAUGCACGGUGUCCUGAGUUCAAUCCCCUGUGCCUCCU
RNAcentral lists this transfer RNA (73 nucleotides) under Camelus bactrianus (Bactrian camel). It matches the Rfam family "tRNA". From Rfam's summary of the family: Transfer RNA (tRNA) molecules are approximately 80 nucleotides in length. Their secondary structure includes four short double-helical elements and three loops (D, anti-codon, and T loops). The record is from Rfam by way of RNAcentral. Lineage: Eukaryota; Metazoa; Chordata; Mammalia; Artiodactyla; Camelidae. RNAcentral also lists the same sequence under 2 other names.